GCUCUCCAUACAGUCAUACUCGUUUGACCAUAAACAGUUUUUGUCCAGCUACCGUAAAAUUUUACGAAUGUUUGACAAAGUUAUUGAUACUUUCAAACUUUAACCGCGUAAUGAACCUACAUGUACAUAGUUAUAUUAUUGGCACCGUCAACGAAAGUUUGGACCGAAAUGUCUCUUUCAUUUUUAUUUUAUAGAUGAAAAUAUUUUUUUUUUACCAAAUUCAAGUGUACGCCCGGGGGUUUUGACGUAAACGUAGCUACGCGCAUGGUUUAUUUCUUUUCAUAACCAUAGUAAAUAGGUCGUUAUAUACUGGUAACGAUAAAUUUUGAUAAUUUCAUAUUUUUUACAUGUCGACUGUCGUUCUACAUGUUCUAGAAAAACCAACUUUUUUUCGAUUGAAGUCUUUUUAUAUUCACUUACUUUUCUGUGUUCUUUGGUUAUAUCUUAGAGUAUAUUUUAACAAAAUCGUCUGUUUUUCCAUUUCUUUCACAAUUACAGGAAACAGACUUUUGACAGGGGGCGCGAAAUCUGGUGCGCAUAUAUUGUACAACUCGUUUCAGGACUUAUUUCUCCGGAAAAUCUCAUGAUAAAUAUAUCCGACAAGGUUGCAGUCGCAGUGGCGGUUCCAGGCUGACGAAGAGGUCGUACACUCCCCCCUUUGAACAAAAAAAAAGUUUUCAUGUUACUCACGAUUUAUAUGUUUUUUACAAUAAAGUUGUCCAAAAAAAAAAUCGGCUCGCUCCGCUCGACGGUAUAUAAAUUCCGUUUUUGGAAAUACCCCCCCCCCUCAGUUUCAAAAAUCCUGGACCCACCCCUGAGUCUAGUAUACUAACUGAUUCAUAGUAUUAAAUAUUGAACAGCUGAUCUUUAAAAAAAAAAGCCCAAAUAAAAUGCACGAUGAUAGGAGGGUUGAGAAGUUGGAUGAGCCGGUCCUUCAUUUCUAUAUUCUUUAAUUUUUCUUACGUUUUGCCCAUGUUUUGCUAUUCUUUAUAUUUUAGCACCUCAUUAUUCUAUAUUCUUUUUUUUUUGUCCAUUUUUCUCUAUUCUUUAUAUUUUGUCCAUUAUUCUCUAUUCUGUUAACCCCACCCACGUGACUCUCCUAUAGAUGGGCGUGGUUUUUUGGUUCUUCGGUAGUGAGCCAGAAGAGGUUAAUUUCUGUUUGUAUUUCUUUGCAUUGGGAAUAUCUUCUGUCUCUCCUCUCCCUCUUCCUUUUAGAUAUAUAGUUAAGACGACAGAGGCACAUAACAAGUGUAAAUGGCAUUAAUAAAUUUAUGAAUGUAGAUAUAAUAGAAUGUGAGCUGAGUGAUAAAUGUUUUCAUGGUAAGGCAGCCUAGGUAGAACAUCCAUGUAGGGACGAUAAGCUGUAUGAAUAUUAUAAAAAAAACUACACGGACAAUAACAGUAAGAAGAUGACUAUUUGAUAUUCUGAGGAGGGGAGGGGCAGAAUGAUUUUUUACUGAUUUAUUAUUCCGAUUUCAAUUGAUCUGUCGCUAAGCUUGCUAUUUU
RNAcentral lists this long non-coding RNA (1506 nucleotides) under Mytilus galloprovincialis (Mediterranean mussel). Lineage: Eukaryota; Metazoa; Mollusca; Bivalvia; Mytilida; Mytilidae. The record is from RNAcentral.